This 525-nucleotide ribosomal RNA is filed under the name Triticum aestivum (bread wheat). Its description in RNAcentral is "partial small subunit ribosomal RNA". The record is from RNAcentral. Lineage: Eukaryota; Viridiplantae; Streptophyta; Magnoliopsida; Poales; Poaceae.
AUGGACCGCAUCCGGACAGCAGUGGCGUGCGUCGAAGGUCUUGGUGUACCCCGUGGAUCUCGGAUGUUCAAGCAUGCGCUACAAGCUGUUGCAUUCCUCAGCAAGGACAAAAUCACCGCCAAUGUAGAGCACUUGAAGAAAAUGUUCAGGUGGUCGGAUGCCGAGGUGGGCAUUGCUGUUUCUAAGGCUCCAAAGCUCCUGUCAAGGACCAAGGAAUUUCUGCACUUUAGGUCCGAGUUCCUCAUCUCCGAGGUGGGCUUGGAACCGGCAUACAUUGUUUAUCGUCCAGCAAUGCUCAUGUACAGCUUGGAGGGCAGGCUCAGACCCCGAUACUACGUUGUAAAGUUUCUCAAGGAAAAUGGAUUGCUAAGUCGCAAUCGGGAUUACUAUUCCGCAGUCAAGAUAACCGAGAAGGAAUUUGUGGAGAAGUUCAUAUGCCCUCACAAGGAAGCUGCACCACACCUUGCUAAAGAUUAUGCGGCAGCCUGCAAAGAUGAAGUGCCGACUAGAUUCAGAUUUACAUGA